Long non-coding RNA from Eurytemora carolleeae, 824 nucleotides. RefSeq lists it as uncharacterized. The record is from RefSeq and is a predicted model, not a curated record. Lineage: Eukaryota; Metazoa; Arthropoda; Copepoda; Calanoida; Temoridae. The transcript has 3 exons.
UGUACGCAUAUUGUGUACCGUACACUGUGGGAGGAAUAUAAACAAACCCAGUGCAUAGCAGUUGAAGGUAAAUGAUUGAACUCUGAUAAACAGAGUGAUUUUACAGUCCAACUAAACAAACUAGUUAAUAUAUCAAGUUAGUGCGGAUACAACUUAAUUAUUUAAAUAUAAUUUUGGCUUUCAGAUAUGGGAAAUUUAUAAAUGCUUAAUGAGAUUUGUACAACUCGUACAACUAUAAAGGAGAAGCAAGAACUAGAUUGAAAUGAUAGAAGAAGAAGAACCAGAAGAAUAUGAGGAACCUAUGAGUGCGGAAAAUUCAGCGCAAAAAAGGCCUCAAAACAGCACUAAUAUAUGUAUGUGGGUUUAUUGCCAAAAACUCCAUACUAAAGUUCCCGGCCUUGUCAGAGUAGGCGAGGAGAAAACGAACUGUGAUUGGAUCGACUUAAAAUCCAGAGGAUCCUUGUUUUAUCCUUCUAAAGAUCUGUUGGAGGAAGUUGAAAAAUAUGAGAAAAUAUUUAAAAAAAAUACAUAGUCUCUGGAUAGAGGACAUGAUCCUAUCGAAAAAAAACAAUUUCAACUAUUACUGCAAUAAACCAAAGAUGGCCUAGGGAGGUUGUAAAACCUUUUGUAAAUGUAAGAUUUUUCAGUAAACUGAAAAAACUUAAUGUAAGCUUGAAGGAAAAUAGUAAAAAAAUGUCAGAACAUUGAAACAAACUGCUCAGUUUAUGUUUUGGAAUUAUGGUGUGAUAGAAUUAUAAAGCUUGACGACCUGCUUUUAAAAAAUAGAAUGUAUAAAAUGUCAAUAAAUAAAUGUACUUAAAUAC